CCUACGGUGAGCAGCAGUGAGGAAUAUUGGUCAAUGGGCGCUAGCCUGAACCAGCCAAGUAGCGUGAAGGAUGACUGCCCUAUGGGUUGUAACCUUCUUUUAUAUGGGAAUAAAGUGCAGUAUGUAUACUGCUUUGCAUGUACCUUAUGAAUAAGGAUCGGCUAACGCCGUGCCAGCAGCCGCGGUAAUACGGAGGAUUCGAGCGUUAUCCGGAUUUAUUGGGUUUAACGGGAGCGUAGGCGGGUUGUUACGUCAGUUGUGAAAGUUUGCGGCUCAACCGUAAAAUUGCAGUUGAUACUGGCAUCCUUGAGUACAGUAGAGGUAGGCGGAAUUCGUGGUGUAGCGGUGAAAUGCUUAGAUAUCACGAAGAACUCCGAUUGCGAAGGCGGCCUGCUGGGCUUUUACUGACGCUGAGGCUCGAAAGUGUGGGGAGCAAACAGGAGUAGAUACCCCUGUAGUC
RNAcentral lists this ribosomal RNA (460 nucleotides) under uncultured bacterium. RNAcentral's name for it is "partial 16S ribosomal RNA". It matches the Rfam family "Bacterial small subunit ribosomal RNA", at positions 338 to 795 of the family's 1533-position model. The record is from RNAcentral.